GAGUUUGAUCAUGGCUCAGGAUGAACGCUGGCGGCGUGCCUAAUACAUGCAAGUCGAGCGAACGGACGAGAAGCUUGCUUCUCUGAUGUUAGCGGCGGACGGGUGAGUAACACGUGGAUAACCUACCUAUAAGACUGGGAUAACUUCGGGAAACCGGAGCUAAUACCGGAUAAUAUUUUGAACCGCAUGGUUCAAAAGUGGAAGACGGUCUUGCUGUCACUUAUAGAUGGAUCCGCGCUGCAUUAGCUAGUUGGUAAGGUAACGGCUUACCAAGGCAACGAUGCAUAGCCGACCUGAGAGGGUGAUCGGCCACACUGGAACUGAGACACGGUCCAGACUCCUACGGGAGGCAGCGGUAGGGAAUCUUCCGCAAUGGGCGAAAGCCUGACGGAGCAACGCCGCGUGAGUGAUGAAGGUCUUCGGAUCGUAAAACUCUGUUAUUAGGGAAGAACAUAUGUGUAAGUAACUGUGCACAUCUUGACGGUACCUAAUCAGAAAGCCACGGCUAACUACGUCG
Molecule: ribosomal RNA, 517 nt
Filed under: uncultured microorganism
Description: bacterial SSU rRNA
Rfam family: Bacterial small subunit ribosomal RNA
Source: RNAcentral